GACGAACGCUGGCGGCGUGCUUAACACAUGCAAGUCGAACGGAAAGGCCCUGCUUUUGUGGGGUGCUCGAGUGGCGAACGGGUGAGUAACACGUGAGUAACCUGCCCUUGACUUUGGGAUAACUUCAGGAAACUGGGGCUAAUACCGGAUAGGAGCUCCUGCUGCAUGGUGGGGGUUGGAAAGUUUCGGCGGUUGGGGAUGGACUCGCGGCUUAUUAGCUGGUUGGUGGGGUAGUGGCCUACCAAGGCUUUGACGGGUAGCCGGCCUGAGAGGGUGACCGGCCACAUUGGGACUGAGAUACGGCCCAGACUCCUACGGGAGGCAGCAGUGGGGAAUAUUGCACAAUGGGCGGAAGCCUGAUGCAGCAACGCCGCGUGCGGGAUGACGGCCUUCGGGUUGUAAACCGCUUUCGCCUGUGACGAAGCGUGAGUGACGGUAAUGGGUAAAGAAGCACCGGCUAACUACGUG
Molecule: ribosomal RNA, 468 nt
Filed under: uncultured bacterium
Lineage: Bacteria
Description: partial 16S ribosomal RNA
Rfam family: Bacterial small subunit ribosomal RNA
Source: RNAcentral